Lagenorhynchus albirostris (white-beaked dolphin) is the source of this 1434-nucleotide long non-coding RNA. RefSeq lists it as uncharacterized. The record is from RefSeq and is a predicted model, not a curated record. The transcript is spliced from 2 exons. Lineage: Eukaryota; Metazoa; Chordata; Mammalia; Artiodactyla; Delphinidae.
CCUCCAUUUGGCUGUCUGUACAUCAAAUCUGUUACUUGUGACUGCCGCGUGCAGGGAGGCAUCACACACAUCUGAGGAUAGAACAGGGAGCCCGGUGGCCAGCACACAGGACCUGUGAGCACCCAGCGCUGGGGUGGGCAUGGCGUGAGGCCUGACAGCCGGAUUAUCUGGCUCAUCUCUUAAUUCUCCCUGGAAGAGCGUCUGGUGGAAGCUCAGGGCAACAGCCCUCACUGGGAGGAAAGACACGGAGGCCCAACGAGAGUCACAAAGUCAUGCAUCUGUGGGGCAGGGACAGAGGGGCCUGAAGCUUACACAGUGUGGUUAUUUUGUUUGUUUGUACAUUUGUUUUGGUUGAAGGGGGGGCUCUGAAAGAAAAAGAAUACAAAAUAACAAAAACAAUUAAAAUGAGUACAAACCUGAAAAUUUAUCUAGAAUGAGGAAAAAAGCAUACUAAAUUACAAAUAUUAAAAAGCCAGGGCUUCUCUGGUGGCACAGUGGUUGAGGGUCCGUCUGCCGAUGCAGGGGACGCGGGUUCGUGCCCCGGUCCGGGAAGAUCCCACAUGCCGCGGAGCGGCUGGGCCCGUGAGCUACGGCCGCUGGGCCUGUGCGUCCGGAGCCUGUGCUCCUCAACGGGAGAGGCCACAGCAGUGAGAGGCCCGCGUACCGGAAAAAAAAAAAAAGCCAAGAGGAGACUUCCCUGGCGGUCCAGUGGUUAAGACUCUGUGCUUCCACUGCAGGGGACAUGGGUUCGAUCCCUGGUUGGGGAACUAAGAUCCUGCAUACCACACGGUGCAGCCACAAAAGAAAAAGGAAAAAAAAGCCGAGAAGUACCACAAACAUCACAAAAUCCAGAAAAAUAACAUAACAUUUUAAUUAAUUUCCAGCCCAAUCUACCUCAAUUGUACUUUUUUUUUUUUUUUAAUUUAUUUGGCUGCGCCGGGUCUUAGUUGCGGCACACGGGAUCUUUAGUUGCAGCAUGUAUGCAGGAUCUAGUUCCCUGACCAGGGAUCGAACCCGGGCCCCCCUGCAUUGGGAGCGAAGAGUCUUAACCACUGCACCACCAGGGAAGUCCCUCUACUGUAUUUCUAUCUUUUUUUGUCUGUAUACUCUUUGAAUACCUCUUCCUGAGACAAUUCUGUAACUGUUUUGUUCUCCACAGAGAAAAUGGAAAGAUAGCCUAGUCUUUCCUCUAAUGUGGCUGAUCCAAACUUGUGUUUUGAUUAUGGAUAGUUUAGAAAAUGUUCACAUUCACAAAUUAUUAUGUUCACAUUCACAAAUUAUGGUAUUGGCAUGUAAAUGUUUGGGAUUGUUGUUAAAUUUGGGGGAAACCUCUAUCAGUUUCUUUUGUAUGUAAACUAUAGGAAUUCAGGGCAUUUCAAGUUUUCUUGUUCAAAUCAGCCAAAAAAUUAAACACCAAAAAUCUGAUAAAUUCUA